This 253-nucleotide ribosomal RNA is filed under the name uncultured bacterium. RNAcentral's name for it is "partial 16S ribosomal RNA". It matches the Rfam family "Bacterial small subunit ribosomal RNA", at positions 524 to 776 of the family's 1533-position model. The record is from RNAcentral.
UACGGAGGGUGCAAGCGUUGUUCGGAUUUACUGGGCGUAAAGCGCGCGCAGGUGGCUGACCAAGUCGGAGGUGAAAUCUUGAGGCUCAACCUCGAGGCUGCUCCCGAAACUGUUCGUCUAGGGACUGGUAGAGGCUGGUAGAAUUCCCGGUGUAGCGGUGGAAUGCGUAGAGAUCGGGAAGAAUACCCGUGGCGAAGGCGGCCAGCUGGGCCAGGUCCGACACUGAGGCGCGAAAGCGUGGGGAGCAAACAGG